AUACGGAGGGGGCUAGCGUUGUUCGGAAUUACUGGGCGUAAAGCGCGUGUAGGCGGAUCGUUAAGUCAGGGGUGAAAGCCCGGAGCUCAACUCCGGAAUUGCCCUUGAUACUGGCGAUCUAGAGGCCGGGAGAGGUGAGCGGAAUUCCCAGUGUAGAGGUGAAAUUCGUAGAUAUUGGGAGGAACACCAGUGGCGAAGGCGGCUCACUGGCCCGGUUCUGACGCUGAGACGCGAAAGCGUGGGGAGCAAACAGGAUUAGAUACCCUAGUAGUCC
This 274-nucleotide ribosomal RNA is filed under the name uncultured bacterium. Its description in RNAcentral is "partial 16S ribosomal RNA". It matches the Rfam family "Bacterial small subunit ribosomal RNA", at positions 523 to 796 of the family's 1533-position model. The record is from RNAcentral.